GACUGUGUAGGAAUAUAUCCUAAGCCAGCAUGCAGCAGUCAGUUGAAGAAUCAGGGCCUGACACUGACAUUUUUUACUGUGCGUGCACAAAUCCCCUUUUAUGAAGUAUUUUAUUGUAAUUAAAAUUCCCCUCCUGUCCUCUGCCUGCUCCCCCAGAUACUAUUCUUCAGUGACAUGUACAUGUGAAGUCUGAAGAUCAGCUGUUUGAAUCUAACUUUUUUCUGCUUAUAAAAACAUGCUUUCCUGCUCUCAGAACUCAAACAGUUGAAUGGAUGUAGCCCAGACUGUUUAUUUCUUUAACUCGCUAUUGAGACAAGACCAAACGUGGAAAGUUUCAGAACAAAAGGAACAUUUUGAAGAAAGAUGAGUCAGUAAACACAAAGGACCAUGUGGAGUUCAUCACCUCAAUGAAGCCGUUAAGGUAUGCAGAAACCACAUUAAAGAAUUAAUUAAUUCUGCCAACAUGCCCUCCGAAAGAAGUCAAAGGAACCAUACUUGGCCAAGGACCAACAGAUUAAAACAAAAUUGGAGUCUCUUGGACAAGCCAUUUUGUAGUUAUAAUGAGCCAAAAACUGUAAGAAAAAUAUUUAAAAACUGAGAUCACCUUCAUUUUUUGAACCUUUGUACAUUCUAAAAGCCUUGACCAAUUUGCCUUAAAUUUGUUGUAAAUUUUCAUGGAGAUUUAUUUUUGGUUUGCUGAAAUUAGUGUGUGUAGGGUCAAAGUUAGUCUUGUAAUGGAAGGGGUGUUGCAAGCUAACUAUGAAGAAACUAAUAUGUUCAACAAUAUAUGUUACUUCACUGUAGUACUAAAUUUCUUUAAAAGUACAGGCGUCAGAGACAAUAAAAUACCAGUCCUCUCAAAAUUAGAGUGCAGAAAUGGUACAUCAAAACACAGAUGUCUCAUAAAUCUAAAUAAUGUGUAAUUUAUAUAUAUAUAAUAUCCAUGCACAAAUAUAAUAUGCACGAGUGGAUUGAAGAAUUUGUGUGCACUAUACAAAGUACCUAGAGACAAGAAACAUUAAAUGUUAUUUAUGUUUGUUCUCCUUUAAGUUUGCAGCAGACUAUGCCACUCCAUUUUAAAAGGGGACUUCUAACUACCUUUUGAAGCUCUGUUCUUCAUCCACCAUUUCCAAGGUUCUUUGAGCUUGUAUACACUUGAAAGUUAAUUCAGAAUAAGAUAGGGUGUGAAUUUAAAGUGCAAUAGCUAUUCCUGAAUAACUCUAUGUGUGGACACAUUCUGGAAUGAAGACUGUCUUGUUUCAGUUUAACUUAAUCCACUUUCAGAGCAAGGCACUCAUUCUGGAAUAAGUGUCCACACAGGGAGUUAUUCAGAAAUAUCUAUCAUGGAAUAACUCCUUGUAAACAAGUCCUUACUUAUCUGGCAAUGGCUAAUACGUUUCUUACACUUUAAGGACACUGACAUGGAGUUUAAAACCUUUGCCUAAGUAAAUUCUUCUCUUAAAGCUAAGUAUUUAUGUUUAGUGACAAGUAUUUUGUUAUCUGAGUGCUCAUACAUCACCAAGUAUGCCCACAAGAGCACACUUCUGCAUGAAAACACAAAGACAAGGGAAGAUUGUGCAUCAUCCAAAGUGAGAUUUCCUCUCUCAAGUUUGGUUUAUCCUGUACCACCUCAGGCCAAGACUUAGGCCAUACCUAUACUAUGAGGAUUAUAACGGCAUAGUGAUGGCUCUCUAGCUAGGCCAUCAUAACCCUUUAGUAUAGGCUCAGCCUACAGUGAUAGAAAGGUGCUCUAGGAACACCACUAUGACAUGACGCUCCAAAUUCUUUAUAGUAAUAUGCUUAUGAUAUGAAUAUGGCAUAACUCAGAUAUAUUUUAUGUAAGAUGGAUCAUGUAAGAUAUCACUGGAAAGGUUAUAAUUUACUGAAUGUGAUUAUCCAAUUUGUAUGCAUGUAUCAUUUCUGUAUUUGGAGUUAGGAAUAUUGACUAUGUAACAAUUACAACUGUGGUUAAUUGUUCUGGGAGUUCCUUCCUGUGGACAUUGCAAAUAAACCUGGUUUCAUGGUUGCUUUGACACUGCAAGGUUAGGUGAUAAUGUCAUCUGGUAAAAAGUACCACCUUGGAGACUGCUGGUACUUUUCCAUUGGAAACAAAGGCUUCCUAUCUUAUGUAAAUUCUAUUUAAGGCUGGGGAGUAAGGCAAACAUUGCCAUCCUCUAUGUAGCGGGGUGGUCACCCGCUCCUGCCCAGAGGGGCUUAAAACAGCCCUGGGGAGGGCUGUGGCUGGGGGCAGGUAGCUCCCAGGCUGAUUGGGGAAGUAGGCAUAGCUGGGGCCAUGCCCCAAACAGACCACAGCUGGCCCUUAGAAAAGGGCUGGGAGCCAGAUGCUCAGAGAGAGUCUCCUCUAGCUGUGGAGAGAGGAGGUACCCUCAGGUACCCUGGCUGCUGGGGAGCAUAUCCAGGGUACCUGAGGUGAAGCAGGGCUGGGGAAGGCCACAGGAGCUGGGAGGCUCCAGGCUGGAAAAGCCCCAGGCUGCAGGCCUGGAAGAUGGCCUAAGACAGGGUACUGGGGUUGCAACAGGGGAGCCCAAGGGUAGGCAGAGGCAGCAGGUCCAAACCCCCCUUGCCUGUGAUGAGUGGCUUGUACACUGCAGUCCGCCCCAGUGAAUGGGGGCUAGGUGGUGACUGGCAGUAGUCAAAUACGGAGGCAAGGUGGGGAUAGAGGGUUGGGGGUUCCCUUAGGAGGAGAGACCCAGAGACUGUGGGGGUACUGCCAGGGGGAAGCCUCCAAGGAAAAGGGGCACUGGGGUCUGGGAGGGACUUGGGGCCCAGCGGCAAGAGGAACACUGGCCUGCAGAGGGCACUCUGGAGGCUGGAAUCGCUAAUUUCCUGGACGACCAGCAGGAGGCGCCACAGGGGUGAAUCCCGCACUGCUACACUGUCCAAGAAGAAAGACAACUGAAAGUACCUGACGAGACAAAGGAACUGAGCUGAGGGAAAGGCAAGGGCUGAAUCCAGACUAAGAAAAGGAGUCUAGUCUGUAAAGAGAAAUAACUGGAACU
Long non-coding RNA from Caretta caretta (loggerhead turtle), 3020 nucleotides. RefSeq lists it as uncharacterized. The record is from RefSeq and is a predicted model, not a curated record. NCBI's taxonomy places the organism in Eukaryota, Metazoa, Chordata, Testudines, Cheloniidae.